RNAcentral lists this long non-coding RNA (385 nucleotides) under Rhinopithecus bieti (black snub-nosed monkey). Its description in RNAcentral is "lncRNA (ENSRBIG00000045939.1)". Lineage: Eukaryota; Metazoa; Chordata; Mammalia; Primates; Cercopithecidae. The record is from RNAcentral.
AAGAAUCACUUGAACCUGGGAGGUGGAGGUUGCAGUGAGCUGAGAUCACGCCAUUGCACUCCAGCCUGGGCGACAAGAGGGAAACUCCAUCUCAAAAAAAAAAAAAAAAAAGUUAACAAACAGAAAAGAUGCCGCUCAUUCUCAAGUCCAUCCUAAAAGAUAUGUUCAUGAUGCAGCGUUGCAGUAAUCUCAUCCCAGAAUGGCACAACCCAGUGGAAGGAGGUGGAAAUGGAAGAGAGGCCAGGAGGCAAAGAGGAGGAGCUAGGAGAUGUGGGGCUCUCUGAGCCAUGAGGAAAGUGGGAAGUCACUGCGUGGAUUCUCCUCAUCUGUAAAAUGGGGGUGCUCCUGCCUGCCUCCUGGGGUUGAGGCAGGAAUCAGGUGAGAA